GCUUGUCAUAAGUAUAAGACCAGAAAAGGGUGACAGUCAGGGCAGAGAAAGGAGAACUAGCAGACUCCAGGGGGUGGGUGAUGGAGAUUUUGGUAAGCUGGAAUUUGAGAAAGUGUGGAUGGGGAAGAACCGCAGCCAAAACCAGUCUAGCAACCACCUUGGGCUCUCUGGACCUGGGACACUGUGCAUUCAGCCUAGGCCUCCCCAGAAGAAAGAGCACACCUUUGAGGACAAAGCCCGAGUCUGAGAUGGUCUUCCGCUGUGUCCUCCAGACAUGUGCGAGGUGGAGGAAUGUGGCGGCAUAGAAGCUGUUCACCACGGGGAUGACCUUCUGCUGCCGAUUACACUCUCUGCAGGAAAAAGAUGAGGAACUAAGGCUCAGUGACCUUUAGUAACUUUCCUAAGGCAUGGGAACCAGGAUACCAACUGAGGUUAUUUGCUCCAGAGCUGAUGUGCAUAACCCCCAUGCUAGCUCUCCAGCCUCUUCAUCAUCCUGACCCAUCAGCUCUCCUUGGCCUGCAGCAGACCCAACCCCUGGGCCCACAUCAUCUCCUGGUGUCAGGAUGAAGACAGAAGUGAGAGGCUCGGUGCUCUAACUAGCCCUACGGGUUCUUAAAGUCUCCUCUCCCCUUCUUUGGGCUUCUGGUUGUCUGGCUGAUCGUGAGCACCUCAUCCUAAGACAGAUAGAGAAGACGCACGUGGGUAGAAAGUCAUCCUGACUUGCGGGGACACCCCAUCUCACGAUAACACAGAGGCCUGAGAGCCAGCUGUGCGGGUCAGACCCCAAGAGGAGGCAGCCUGAGUCUGGCAGGGGAGCUUCACCAGGAAGGGCCUCAGAAUCCCCUACAGGGACAGCUUUAAUGCUCUAUGUUUAGUCAGGCAAGCUCCUUUCUUUAAUAACAAUGAAACCAAGCUUGCAAAAUCCCUGAAUGGAAAGAGCCUUUUUUUCAGGGAACUUGCAGACAUGACAUGUUAUUUUCCCCUGUUGCACAUACACAAGGACACCCAGUGAGAGGAACACAUAGACCAGUGCAUUCCUUAGUACAGAACAAGAACCAAGGUCUAUUUAUCCCCCCUGCUUCCCGGUUGAAGAAAAAUCCAUUACAUUAUAGUAUAGAACUGUACUGCCCAGUAUGGUGGCA
RNAcentral lists this long non-coding RNA (1142 nucleotides) under Pan troglodytes (chimpanzee). RNAcentral's name for it is "long non-coding RNA NONPTRT010569". Lineage: Eukaryota; Metazoa; Chordata; Mammalia; Primates; Hominidae. The record is from RNAcentral.